GAGUUAAAAACUCAGCCUGAGAGCAAAAGCAAUUCAAGAUGGCGCUUCCAGGUGUGGACUGCAAAAGGCUGCCCUCCUUAAGCCACUCUUUAUAUUCAAGGUCUGCCUGGUGCCACCUUAGAAGCUGGCCUUAUUCUGCAGAGGACAUUGAAUGAUAACACCGUGCGCGUCAGCUGACUGCUGUGUCAUAGCUGCUGCUUUCUGCAUUAUCCCAACUGCCUGAAUUCUGGCUCCUGCAGUUUUUCUGGUCGUACUGCGGCAAAGCAGAGGCGCACGACUAGGCACGAAGCGACAGAGUUUUAGAGUUUUAUUUUCCUGCUACUACUUACAUUGCUUACGUGAGGAGUAUUCACGUUUGUUUAGCCGGGAGCAGAGAUGCAGUCUGAACGUACAUGGUGGCUUCUAACUUGGCAGCGUGAAUUUUCAGCCGAGCAGUUACUGCUCGGAGCCUUGUAACCAAACAGCCUCUGAAGGAGAACAUCUGGCUUCCCACCACGUGUAUGAAUAGUCCGGAGGCUUCUUGAGCCACGCUGCUCUACCUGCAGGAAUAAAGUCUAGCACAAAGGAGAGGAUGCUUGUCAUCAUUUGCCUGGCUGGGGCCUGGGCAGGCAACUUCACCUCACUGAAGCUGUGACUCUCCCCCAGCUCAUGUUAAAGCUGGUCACAGGCGCUGGCGCAGAUCCCCACUCCUGAGUUAGGACAAGGUUUAAAGGAGAAACCAGACUCACUGACCUAAAUCAAUCCCAGUCCCCCCCUGGAUGCGGGGCAGCUGUCGACUAGCGGCCACACACCAGCCACCAAGUGGAGAAUCGCUGGGAUUGCAGUCUGUGCCAGACCGAAUUUAAACAACCUACCUAAGGUUAUGCAGCUGGUGAGCAAGCAGAUCAGAGACUCAUGAUCUUCCUACUGAGGACCCAGGAUUCUUUCCUUGCCUCUCUGAGGAUACUGCUACCUGGACUCCUCUAACUCCCAAUCUAAGUCUUGAAUACGGAUGUGAUGCCUCAAGCUACAGCAGCCAAUUUGGAACCACGAAGGAAAGGCCCUAUGUUUCUGAGCCAUUAAACCAAUACCAGCAACCGCCAACCUCCAAACAUCUAAUAAGAAAAAUCUACCCUUAUUCCUUUAAGCUGAUAUCACUGGGUUUCUAUUAUUUGCAGUUGAUAGCAAUCCUAUCUGAAACGCAUCAUCUAUGUGAUUUCAUGUGGCCGAAGAGACAUAAACCCAUUCAGCUUCUCAAGUCAGGCUCUGUCGUACUUCUAUAACCUCCUCCAUUCCCAAUCAAACCAGGCUCAUGAAGACAUUUACUUCUUUGCUGCUUUUCUCUAUGUAUACCAGAGUAUACUUCCCUCUCUGCAACAGAUCCCUAAAUUCACUCCAUCCUUAAAGGUACACACUUGUCUGUAGCCUUUCCUAAAGAAUGUGCCCUAUCCCAUAAAUCUCCAGUAAGAAGCUCCUGUGUGGUCACUGCGUUGCCUAGACUUUCCUGCACAGUCCCAAUUUUAAUUACUUUGUGUGACUGACUCUAUAAGUGCAUCUGCACUUCUCAGAAUGCAUGCCCUUAUUUUUGUUCGUGUUUUGGUGUGGAGACUCAAUAAAAUUAAUUCAGUUUUUCUUAUUCAAUAUCAAUUUGAAAAUAAGGUCAUUGCUCAUUCCUGUAUUAGCUUCUUCCCAAAACCAAUUAUAAAGAUACAAUUUGGUUCUUCUGCUUCCCAGAGUAUACUGCAAAUGCAAAUGAGAGACAGGACAAAUACACAGAACGUGAUGAAGAAACUACAUUAGUAAUCAUUGGCUACUUAGCAAAUGCCAUGCAGCAUUAGUUCUUCCAUCAUUCCAGGUAACCACAGACCUUCUAGAGUUUCUGGAAAGCAGUGGUUCUGAUUCCAGAAGCUUUGCUCGGAAGCCAAAUGAGUUACUUUAUAGUCACACCUCCAUUAAUGCAACUUUUUAAAAUAAAAAUAAAAUUCAAUUUCUCAUGAGUCAGAGUAAUAAGAACUAUUCCUAGAAAUAAAAGUUAUUAAUAAAAAUAAGAUAGUGGGAUUAGAUUAUCCUUAAGUUUCCUUCUAACUCCAAAUUUGUGAUUGUAAUUAGCUUUUCAGACUUUUACUUGGUAAAAUUACAUCUCUCCAAAUCACUGAGUGAUAUCUUAGGGAACUAAAUGAAGUUCCUCUCCUUCUCUUCCUAAGCAAUUCAAUCCCAAGGCCAUUAGACGAGGCAGAGGAAAGUAGAGGUCCACAGUGGAGGAAGAGGGGAGCAGAGGGUGACACAAAUGCCCA
Molecule: long non-coding RNA, 2273 nt
Organism: Choloepus didactylus (southern two-toed sloth)
Lineage: Eukaryota; Metazoa; Chordata; Mammalia; Pilosa; Megalonychidae
Exons: 3
Source: RefSeq, a predicted model, not a curated record